AUAAAUGACCGAGUCGAACACCACAUUAAGCACUGCAUUCUCAGAAAUCAGAACUGACUAGAGCACAGCCAAAAUGCCAGGAACAAAAGGUAAUAAGUCGGACAAGAAGUCAGCUACCAAGCAACCUCAGAGUCCUAAAGAGCAGCCGAAGAAAGGUGAUCAGAAAGGAGAUGAUAACAAGAAGCAAGGAGCAGGACAGCCGAAGGGAGAGAAGCAAUAACUUCCAGGCAUUUGUGAAGAUGGCUUUGGAGACACUGCUGGGGUCCUGCCGUCGUAAACAUGGGAGCCCCCGGGGCAAACAGGGCUGAAUGCACCUCCCCUCCGCACUUUCCCCCCUGAGCCCGCAGACUGGGCUGUUCUACGGCCUUCCAACACAACAUCUGCUCACCUCUCACAGAGGCAGAAAGUGAACCUGAUCUCCAUCCAUCACCAUAUGUUCUUCAACCUCUGUUCCUCCACCUCCCUUCUCCAACCUUUUUCUGUCCCCGUUCCCUCACUGUCCACUCUGGCUGAUUGGAUGCUCAGAAACAGACUCUAGGUUAAACCGGAUGAUUCUUUUGAGCAAAAAAUUUUUUGUCAACCCUUUGCAACCCUUCCCUAAAUCACCCUCCUAUCAUGACUGACUGUCUAACAGUCCAUACAUUCUUGUAAAUAAUAAUUCAAAUAAACAGCUAUUUAUUACAGCA
Epinephelus fuscoguttatus (brown-marbled grouper) is the source of this 686-nucleotide long non-coding RNA. RefSeq lists it as uncharacterized. The transcript is spliced from 4 exons. NCBI's taxonomy places the organism in Eukaryota, Metazoa, Chordata, Actinopteri, Perciformes, Serranidae. The record is from RefSeq and is a predicted model, not a curated record.